GGCUGAGCACUGUUCGGUUCGAACCGAAUAAACCGACUGAACCGAUUUAAUUUAAUAAUUUGGUUCGGUUUUAAAAUAAAAUCGAUUCGGUUCGGUUUUAAUUUUUAAAAAUUUCGGGUUGGUCGGUUCGGUUCGGUUUUGGAGUCAAAAUAAUUCGGUCGAACCGAACCGACCGAUUUAAUUUUAAACGCAGCGUUUUAUUAUAGGUUAUAUCAAUUCACUUCCUAUCCCUCGACGUCAUUCUUCACGCGGCGCAUACCUUGUCUCUCUCAAACCAAAUCCCUAAUCUCCAUCCUUCGCGUCUUCAAUCCGUAGCCACAGCCACCCACCCCAGUCGCUAGUCCCACAGCCGCCCACCGGCCACCCACCCUGCCACCCUUCGCGUCUCUCUCUCACGGCCAUCGCUCGCGUCUCUCUCUCUCAUAGCCGUCGCUCGCGAGACUCUUUUCACUGCUGUAGAACAACACUCUAAAUACUCAAAGGAGGUUCAGUUGCUCAGUCUCACCGUGUUGGUAGAGUUAGCUCAGAAAUUAAUUGGCAUUUGAAGAAUGGAGAAAUUGAAGAAUAGAGGGUUGAUUGUUGGUGACAUAACUGUUGAUGGAUAUUUUGGAACUG
This is a long non-coding RNA of Manihot esculenta (cassava), 615 nucleotides long. RefSeq lists it as uncharacterized. The transcript is spliced from 3 exons. NCBI's taxonomy places the organism in Eukaryota, Viridiplantae, Streptophyta, Magnoliopsida, Malpighiales, Euphorbiaceae. The record is from RefSeq and is a predicted model, not a curated record.